Molecule: ribosomal RNA, 385 nt
Filed under: uncultured bacterium
Lineage: Bacteria
Description: bacterial SSU rRNA
Rfam family: Bacterial small subunit ribosomal RNA
Source: RNAcentral
AAUCAACGCUGGCGGCGUGCCUAACACAUGCAAGUCGAACGAGAAAGGGUAGCAAUACCUGAGUAAAGUGGCGCACGGGUGAGUAACACGUGACUAACCUACCCUGGAGUGGGGGAUAACUGGGAGAAAUCCUAGCUAAUACCGCAUAACACCUACGGGUCAAAGGAGCAAUUCGCUUUGGGAGGGGGUCGCGGUCGAUUAGUUUGUUGGCGGGUAAUGGCCCACCAAGACUAUGAUCGAUAUCCGGCCUGAGAGGGCGCACGGACACACUGGAACUGAAACACGGUCCAGACUCCUACGGGAGGCAGCAGUGGGGAAUUUUGCGCAAUGGGGGAAACCCUGACGCAGCAACGCCGCGUGGAGGAUGAAGUACUUCGGUACGUAA